This 1194-nucleotide ribosomal RNA is filed under the name Streptomyces sp. ScaeMP-e122. Its description in RNAcentral is "bacterial LSU rRNA". It matches the Rfam family "Bacterial large subunit ribosomal RNA", at positions 1765 to 2925 of the family's 2925-position model. The record is from RNAcentral. Lineage: Bacteria; Bacillati; Actinomycetota; Actinomycetes; Kitasatosporales; Streptomycetaceae.
AGCUGGGGGUGGCCGCAGAGACCAGCGAGAAGCGACUGUUUACUAAAAACACAGGUCCGUGCGAAGCCGUAAGGCGAUGUAUACGGACUGACGCCUGCCCGGUGCUGGAACGUUAAGGGGACCGGUUAGUGCACUUUCGGGUGUGCGAAGCUGAGAACUUAAGCGCCAGUAAACGGCGGUGGUAACUAUAACCAUCCUAAGGUAGCGAAAUUCCUUGUCGGGUAAGUUCCGACCUGCACGAAUGGCGUAACGACUUCUCGACUGUCUCAACCAUAGGCCCGGUGAAAUUGCACUACGAGUAAAGAUGCUCGUUUCGCGCAGCAGGACGGAAAGACCCCGGGACCUUUACUAUAGUUUGAUAUUGGUGUUCGGUUCGGCUUGUGUAGGAUAGGUGGGAGACUUUGAAGCAGCCACGCCAGUGGUUGUGGAGUCGCCGUUGAAAUACCACUCUGGUCGUGCUGGAUGUCUAACCUGGGUCCGUGAUCCGGAUCAGGGACAGUGUCUGAUGGGUAGUUUAACUGGGGCGGUUGCCUCCUAAAGAGUAACGGAGGCGCCCAAAGGUUCCCUCAGCCUGGUUGGCAAUCAGGUGUUGAGUGUAAGUGCACAAGGGAGCUUGACUGUGAGACCGACGGGUCGAGCAGGGACGAAAGUCGGGACUAGUGAUCCGGCAGUGGCUUGUGGAAGCGCUGUCGCUCAACGGAUAAAAGGUACCCCGGGGAUAACAGGCUGAUCUUCCCCAAGAGUCCAUAUCGACGGGAUGGUUUGGCACCUCGAUGUCGGCUCGUCGCAUCCUGGGGCUGGAGUCGGUCCCAAGGGUUGGGCUGUUCGCCCAUUAAAGCGGUACGCGAGCUGGGUUUAGAACGUCGUGAGACAGUUCGGUCCCUAUCCGCUGUGCGCGUAGGAAUAUUGAGAAGGGCUGUCCCUAGUACGAGAGGACCGGGACGGACGAACCUCUGGUGUGCCAGUUGUCCUGCCAAGGGCAUGGCUGGUUGGCUACGUUCGGAAAGGAUAACCGCUGAAAGCAUCUAAGCGGGAAGCCUGCUUCGAGAUGAGUAUUCCCACCACCUUGAGUGGUUAAGGCUCCCAGUAGACGACUGGGUUGAUAGGCCAGAUGUGGAAGCCCGGUAACGGGUGGAGCUGACUGGUACUAAUAGGCCGAGGGCUUGUCCUCAGUUGCUCGCGUCCACUGUGUUG